This 190-nucleotide small RNA is filed under the name Pan troglodytes (chimpanzee). Its description in RNAcentral is "processed transcript". The record is from RNAcentral. RNAcentral also lists the same sequence under 1 other name. Lineage: Eukaryota; Metazoa; Chordata; Mammalia; Primates; Hominidae.
AGGAGCUCCGAGUUGCCACCCAGGAAAAAGAGGGCUCCUCUGGGAGAUGUAUGCUUACUCUCUUAGGCCUUUCAUUCAUCUUGGCAGGACUUAUUGUUGGUGGAGCCUGCAUUUACAAGUACUUCAUGCCCAAGGUUGUAAUUUUCCCUUUUUGUCUUUUAGAGCACCAUUUACCGUGGAGAGAUGUGCU